GUCAUUACAGGUGACAACAAAAAUACAGCCGAAGCUAUUUGUCAUGAAAUUGGUGUAUUUUUGCCUUAUGACGAUAUCAGUUCAAGAAGCUUGACUGGAAAAGAAUUCAUGGACCAUCCUGAUCAAAGAAAUCAUUUAAGGCAAGAUGGAGGGCUGUUGUUCUCUAGGGCUGAACCAAGGCAUAAGCAAGAAAUAGUGAGGUUGCUUAAAGAGGACGGUGAAGUUGUAGCUAUGACAGGAGAUGGAGUGAAUGAUGCACCUGCCUUAAAGUUGGCUGAUAUUGGCAUAGCAAUGGGCAUUGCUGGGACAGAGGUUGCCAAAGAAGCCUCUGACAUGGUGUUAGCAGAUGAUAAUUUUAGCACUAUAGUUGCUGCAGUUGGUGAAGGCAGGUCCAUCUACGACAACAUGAAGGCUUUUAUCAGGUACAUGAUCUCCUCAAAUAUUGGCGAGGUUGCCUCUAUAUUUCUGACAGCUGCUUUGGGUAUUCCAGAAGGG
RNAcentral lists this unclassified non-coding RNA (495 nucleotides) under Hevea brasiliensis (rubber tree). The record is from RNAcentral. Lineage: Eukaryota; Viridiplantae; Streptophyta; Magnoliopsida; Malpighiales; Euphorbiaceae.